This 543-nucleotide ribosomal RNA is filed under the name Philyra malefactrix. RNAcentral's name for it is "partial 16S ribosomal RNA". The stretch from base 350 to 508 matches the Rfam family "Bacterial large subunit ribosomal RNA", at positions 2473 to 2632 of the family's 2925-position model. Lineage: Eukaryota; Metazoa; Arthropoda; Malacostraca; Decapoda; Leucosiidae. The record is from RNAcentral.
CUGAUUUUUUUAAGAGCUGCGGUAUUCUGACUGUACAAAGGUAGCAUAAUAAUUAGUUUUUUAAAUGUAAACUAGAAUGAAUGGUUAAACAAAAUAAAAAUUGUCUCUAUUAUUAUUUUAAAAUUUAACUUUUAAGUGAAAAGGCUUAAAUAAACCAAAAAGACGAUAAGACCCUAAGAAGCUUAAUAUUUGAAUUUUGUUUUAAAAAAUUAAUUUAAUUAAAAACUAAAAUUAUUUAUUUAGUUGGGGCGAUGUUUAGAUAAUUUAUUUUAACUCUAAAAUUUUUAAACAUUUAAAAUGAAAAAUUUAAUAGAUCUUUAAUAAAAAUUAAAAGUAAAGUUACUCUAGGGAUAACAGCGUUAUUUUUUUUAGGAGUUCAUAUUUAAGAAAAAGAUUGCGACCUCGAUGUUGAAUUAAAAAUUCUUUUUAGUGCAGCAGCUAAAAAAGAAAGUCUGUUCGACUUUUAAAAUUUUACAUGAUUUGAGUUCAGACCGGCGAGAGCCAGGUCGGUUUCUAUCUUUUGUUUUUAUUAAAAUUAAUUUA